Molecule: ribosomal RNA, 423 nt
Filed under: uncultured bacterium
Lineage: Bacteria
Description: bacterial SSU rRNA
Rfam family: Bacterial small subunit ribosomal RNA
Source: RNAcentral
GAAUCUUCCACAAUGGACGAAAGUCUGAUGGAGCAACGCCGCGUGAGUGAAGAAGGUUUUCGGAUCGUAAAACUCUGUUGUAAGGGAAGAACAAGUACAGUAGUAACUGGCUGUACCUUGACGGUACCUUAUUAGAAAGCCACGGCUAACUACGUGCCAGCAGCCGCGGUAAUACGUAGGUGGCAAGCGUUGUCCGGAAUUAUUGGGCGUAAAGCGCGCGCAGGCGGUCCUUUAAGUCUGAUGUGAAAUCACGUGGCUCAACCACGUGCGGUCAUUGGAAACUGGAGGACUUGAGUGCAGAAGAGGAAAGUGGAAUUCCAAGUGUAGCGGUGAAAUGCGUAGAGAUUUGGAGGAACACCAGUGGCGAAGGCGACUUUCUGGUCUGUAACUGACGCUGAGGCGCGAAAGCGUGGGGAGCAAACA